This 587-nucleotide long non-coding RNA is filed under the name Sarcophilus harrisii (Tasmanian devil). Its description in RNAcentral is "lncRNA (ENSSHAG00000020863.1)". Lineage: Eukaryota; Metazoa; Chordata; Mammalia; Dasyuromorphia; Dasyuridae. The record is from RNAcentral.
CCCUGAUAUAAGGAUGUGAAGUGCCGAGCUGUUUUAAUUCUCAGUUUGUUAGCAUAGAGCCGGAGCUGAAUAGCAAACGUUGCUCUCCCAUGUGUGGAUUUGGAGCAGGAAUCAAUUUGCUGGGAGAGUGGGGAAAGAUGGCCCUCCCACAGCAGCGUCUUUUCUGGACCUGUAUCCCAAAGAGAUCUUAAAGGAGGGAAAAGGACCCACGUGUGCAAAAUGUUUGUGGCGGCCCUUUUUGUGGUGGCAAAGAACUGGAAAAUGAGUGGACGCCCAUCCGUUGGGAAUGGCUGAACAAGUGGUGGUAUAUGAAGGGCCAGCGUCCUGAUUCAUACCAUGUCACUGGACCCAAGUGGCUCUGGAGGAGAACAUGGAGCUUGUGCCUGUGCAAAGCCCUCCCUUGCUUCCAUCUAAUUCAUUUGAUUGUCGUGGUAUUACCUCCUUGAUGUCAUGAUCCUCUUGAAGAACGAAAGACGAACAAGAAACAAAGAAAGAACAAAAAUGCUUCAUGCAGCUCCAAGACUCUUGCAAAGAAGCUGCUAAUGGUAUUGCUAGAGGAAGUUUUCUCAUCUGGGAGUUCUCUUACC